This 406-nucleotide ribosomal RNA is filed under the name uncultured bacterium. RNAcentral describes it as "partial 16S ribosomal RNA". It matches the Rfam family "Bacterial small subunit ribosomal RNA", at positions 29 to 526 of the family's 1533-position model. The record is from RNAcentral.
AUUGAACGCUGGCGGCAGGCCUAACACAUGCAAGUCGAGCGAGCGGCGGACGGGUGAGUAAUGUCUGGGAAACUGCCUGACGGAGGGGGAUAACUACUGGAAACGGUAGCUAAUACCGCAUACCAUCAGAUGUGCCCAGAUGGGAUUGGCUAGUAGGUGGGGUAACGGCUCACCUAGGCGACGAUGCCUCGCUGGGCUGAGAGGAUUGCCAGCCACACUGGAGCUGAGAGGCGGUCCAGACGCCUACGGGAGGCAACGGUGGGGAAUGUUGCACACUGGGCGCAAGCCGGGUACGGCCAAGCCACGGAUGUGAAGAGGGCCUUGGGGUUGUAAGGCUCUUUCAGCGGGGAAGCGGUACCCGCAGAAGAAGCACCGGCUAACUCCGUGCCAGCAGCCGCGGUAAUAC